This 305-nucleotide ribosomal RNA is filed under the name uncultured bacterium. RNAcentral's name for it is "bacterial SSU rRNA". It matches the Rfam family "Bacterial small subunit ribosomal RNA", at positions 335 to 655 of the family's 1533-position model. The record is from RNAcentral.
UAGCCUACGGGGGGCAGCAGUGGGGGAUAUUGCACAAUGGGGGAAACCCUGAUGCAGCGACGCCGCGUGGGCGAAGAAGUAUUUCGGUAUGUAAAGCCCUAUCAGCAGGGAAGAAGAAAUGACGGUACCUGAGUAAGAAGCACCGGCUAAAUACGUGCCAGCAGCCGCGGUAAUACGUAUGGUGCAAGCGUUAUCCGGAUUUACUGGGUGUAAAGGGAGCGCAGGAGGCACGGCAAGCCUGAUGUGAAAGCCCGCGGCGAAACCGCGGGACUGAAUUGGGAACUACCGGGCUGGAGUGGCGGGGG